AAAUUGAAGAGUUUGAUCAUGGCUCAGAUUGAACGCUGGCGGCAGGCCUAACACAUGCAAGUCGAGCGGUAGCACAGAGAGCUUGCUCUCGGGUGACGAGCGGCGGACGGGUGAGUAAUGUCUGGGAAACUGCCUGAUGGAGGGGGAUAACUACUGGAAACGGUAGCUAAUACCGCAUAACGUCGCAAGACCAAAGUGGGGGACCUUCGGGCCUCAUGCCAUCAGAUGUGCCCAGAUGGGAUUAGCUAGUAGGUGGGGUAACGGCUCACCUAGGCGACGAUCCUAGCUGGUCUGAGAGGAUGACCAGCCACACUGGAACUGAGACACGGUCCAGACUCCUACGGGAGGCAGCAGUGGGGAAUAUUGCACAAUGGGCGCAAGCCUGAUGCAGCCAUGCCGCGUGUGUGAAGAAGGCCUUCGGGUUGUAAAGCACUUUCAGCGGGGAGGAAGGCGAUAAGGUUAAUAACCUUGUCGAUUGACGUUACCCGCAGAAGAAGCACCGGCUAACUCCGUGCCAGCAGCCGCGGUAAUACGGAGGGUGCAAGCGUUAAUCGGAAUUACUGGGCGUAAAGCGCACGCAGGCGGUCUGUCAAGUCGGAUGUGAAAUCCCCGGGCUCAACCUGGGAACUGCAUUCGAAACUGGCAGGCUAGAGUCUUGUAGAGGGGGGUAGAAUUCCAGGUGUAGCGGUGAAAUGCGUAGAGAUCUGGAGGAAUACCGGUGGCGAAGGCGGCUCCACGGACAAAGACUGACGCUCAGGUGCGAAAGCGUGGGGAGCAAACAGGAUUAGAUACCACGGUAGUCCACGCCGUAAACGAUGUCGAUUUGGAGGUUGUGCCCUUGAGGCGUGGCUUCCGGAGCUAACGCGUUAAAUCGACCGCCCGGGAGUACGGCCGCAAGGUUAAAACUCAAAUGAAUUGACGGGGCCCGCACAAGCGGUGGAGCAUGUGGUUUAAUUCGAUGCAACGCGAAGAACCUUACACGGUCUUGACAUCCACAGAACUUUCCAGAGAUGGAUUGGUGCCUUCGGGAACUGUGAGACAGGUGCUGCAUGGCUGUCGUCAGCUCGUGUUGUGAAAUGUUGGGUUAAGUCCCGCAACGAGCGCAACCCUUAUCCUUUGUUGCCAGCGGUUAGGCCGGGAACUCAAAGGAGACUGCCAGUGAUAAACUGGAGGAAGGUGGGGAUGACGUCAAGUCAUCAUGGCCCUUACGACCAGGGCUACACACGUGCUACAAUGGCAUAUACAAAGAGAAGCGACCUCGCGAGAGCAAGCGGACCUCAUAAAGUAUGUCGUAGUCCGGAUUGAGUCUGCAACUCGACUCCAUGAAGUCGGAAUCGCUAGUAAUCGUAGAUCAGAAUGCUACGGUGAAUACGUUCCCGGGCCUUGUACACACCGCCCGUCACACCAUGGGAGUGGGUUGCAAAAGAAGUAGGUAGCUUAACCUUCGGGAGGGCGCUUACCACUUUGUGAUUCAUGACUGGGGUGAAGUCGUAACAAGGUAACCGUAGGGGAACCUGCGGUUGGAUCACCUCCUUACCUUAAAGAA
Molecule: ribosomal RNA, 1546 nt
Filed under: Klebsiella pneumoniae
Lineage: Bacteria; Pseudomonadati; Pseudomonadota; Gammaproteobacteria; Enterobacterales; Enterobacteriaceae
Description: bacterial SSU rRNA
Rfam family: Bacterial small subunit ribosomal RNA
Source: RNAcentral